UUGGUUAAGUUAGAAAGGGCGCACGGUGGAUGCCUUGGCACUAGGAGCCGAAGAAGGACGGGACUAACACCGAUAUGCUUUGGGGAGCUGUACGUAAGCGUUGAUCCAGAGAUUUCCGAAUGGGGGAACCCACUAUCUUUAGUCGGAUAGUAUCCUUACGUGAAUACAUAGCGUGAGGAAGGCAGACCCAGGGAACUGAAACAUCUAAGUACCUGGAGGAAGAGAAAGAAAAAUCGAUUUCCUGAGUAGCGGCGAGCGAAACGGAAAGAGCCCAAACCAAGAAGCUUGCUUCUUGGGGUUGUAGGACACUCUAUACGGAGUUACAAAAGAAAGUUAUAAAUGAAGCGGUCUGGAAAGGCCCGCCAAAGACGGUAACAGCCCGGUAGUUGAAAUGGCUUUCCCUCCAGAGUGGAUCCUGAGUACGGCGGAACACGUGAAAUUCCGUCGGAAUCCGGGAGGACCAUCUCCCAAGGCUAAAUACUCCCUAGUGACCGAUAGUGAACCAGUACCGUGAGGGAAAGGUGAAAAGCACCCCGGAAGGGGAGUGAAACAGUUCCUGAAACCGUGUGCCUACAAGUAGUUAGAGCCCGUUAAUGGGUGAUAGCGUGCCUUUUGUAGAAUGAACCGGCGAGUUACGAUUUGUUGCAAGGUUAAGCGGAAAAAGCGGAGCCGUAGCGAAAGCGAGUCUGAAUAGGGCGCAUAAGUAACAGGUCGUAGACCCGAAACCAGGUGAUCUACCCAUGUCCAGGAUGAAGGUAAGGUAAUACUUACUGGAGGUCCGAACCCACGCACGUUGAAAAGUGCGGGGAUGAGGUGUGGGUAGCGGAGAAAUUCCAAUCGAACUUGGAGAUAGCUGGUUCUCUCCGAAAUAGCUUUAGGGCUAGCCUCGAGGUAAAGAGUCAUGGAGGUAGAGCACUGUUUGGACUAGGGGCCCUUCUCGGGUUACCGAAUUCAGAUAAACUCCGAAUGCCAUGUACUUAUACUCGGGAGUCAGACUGCGAGUGAUAAGAUCCGUAGUCGAAAGGGAAACAGCCCAGACCACCAGUUAAGGUCCCCAAAUAUAUGUUAAGUGGAAAAGGAUGUGGGGUUGCUUAGACAACCAGGAUGUUGGCUUAGAAGCAGCCACCAUUGAAAGAGUGCGUAAUAGCUCACUGGUCGAGUGACCCCGCGCCGAAAAUGUACCGGGGCUAAACAUAUUACCGAAACUGUGGAUGAACCUCUUUAGAGGUUCGUGGUAGGAGAGCGUUCUAAGGGCGGUGAAGUCAGACCGGAAGGACUGGUGGAGCGCUUAGAAGUGAGAAUGCCGGUAUGAGUAGCGAAAGAAGGGUGAGAAUCCCUUCCACCGAAUAUCUAAGGUUUCCUGAGGAAGGCUCGUCCGCUCAGGGUUAGUCGGGACCUAAGCCGAGGCCGAUAGGCGUAGGCGAUGGACAACAGGUAGAGAUUCCUGUACCAGUGCUAAUUGUUUAACCGAUGGGGUGACACAGAAGGAUAGGGAAUCGCACGAAUGGAAAUGUGCGUCCAAGCAGUGAGUGUGAGAAGUAGGCAAAUCCGCUUCUCGCGAAGCAUGAGCUGUGAUGGGGAAGGAAAUUAAGUACGGAAGUUCCUG
Molecule: ribosomal RNA, 1606 nt
Filed under: Listeria monocytogenes
Lineage: Bacteria; Bacillati; Bacillota; Bacilli; Caryophanales; Listeriaceae
Description: partial 23S ribosomal RNA
Rfam family: Bacterial large subunit ribosomal RNA
Source: RNAcentral